Molecule: ribosomal RNA, 468 nt
Filed under: uncultured bacterium
Lineage: Bacteria
Description: partial 16S ribosomal RNA
Rfam family: Bacterial small subunit ribosomal RNA
Source: RNAcentral
GACGAACGCUGGCGGCGUGCUUAACACAUGCAAGUCGAACGGAAAGGCCCUGCUUUUGUGGGGUGCUCGAGUGGCGAACGGGUGAGUAACACGUGAGUAACCUGCCCUUGACUUUGGGAUAACUUCAGGAAACUGGGGCUACUACCGGAUAGGAGCUCCUGCUGCAUGGUGGGGGUUGGAACGUUUCGGCGGUUGGGGUUGGACGCGCGGGUUAUCAGCUUGCUGGUGGGGGAGUGGCUUACCAAGGCAUUGGCGGGUAGCCCGCCCGUGGAGGUGACCGGCCACCCUGGGUCUUAGGGGAGGCCCCAGUGGCGAAUGGGGGACAAUGGGGGGAAGUCUGACCCAGGGGCCGAAGCCUGAUGAAGCAACGCCGCGUGCGGGAUGGCGGCCUUCGGGUUGUAAACCGCUUUCGCCUGUGACGAAGCGUGAGUUACGGUAAUGGGUAAAGAAGCACCGGCUAACUACGUG